This 1409-nucleotide long non-coding RNA is filed under the name Homo sapiens (human). Its description in RNAcentral is "long independently transcribed non-coding RNA 2765, transcript variant 1 (LINC02765)". Lineage: Eukaryota; Metazoa; Chordata; Mammalia; Primates; Hominidae. The record is from RNAcentral.
AGCUGGGUGUGAGUCCGCGGAGCUGAGAGCCUUGCCCUCUGCUCCAUCCUCCUCUUUUGGGGGUCUCCGCGGUGUCAGGACUUGGAGAGCCUGGUCGUGGGACUUGAUCAGAGAGGCCUUGAGUGCAGUGGGUGCUUAUCUGGUGACUGUGGCCCUGAGGUCUGGGACAGACACUGCCAGUCUUUCUGGGCCACACCCACGGGGACUGCCAGCCCCCCUGGGCUUGGCACAGUGGAGGGGAGCCUCCACCACAGUGGAGGAGAGACACACCCAAGGCCCUGGAUGUGCCCGGCUCUCUGCAGCUGUGGGUGCCUCAGGCCGGCCGCCGAUGGGUCUCAGUUUCUGAGGGGGUGGCAGUGAAGUUGCAGAGAAGAAACCUAUGAAGGUGCCCUGUCAACUGCCACACGCCGAGAUGCACAUUGACAGCCCAUCACCGCCUCUUGCCUGUCCUCCCCGGGGACCGGCAGAUCAUGGGAGAUGAUUUGUCAAGGGGAGACACAUUUGGGUGACACCAAGCCGAGCUUCCUGUCUUGAGACGCUUUCUGCUUUCUCAUCUUCCUGCUAAUGAGUUGCCUUUUGUGUGUAUCCCACUUCCUGUCCCACCCAGCCCCAAAUGUCCGUGGAACCGGCCCCACUAACCUGCAUCCAGCUGCCUCUUCCACCUGGGCCCUGCUCUCAGAUGGAAGUGUCACCAAACACCCAGAUCGCCGUGCUCCUGCUUCUCUGGGUUCAAUGAGACCCUCCACCCAGAUGAGCAUGAGCCCAGCCAGGGUGGGCUGUUCAGUUUCUUCCCUGGGAAUCUGGAGCUGGAUUGAGCUGGUCUGCAGAGUGGACACAACCUGAAAACCAACUGGACUGAGCAUCCUUCUCCUAAAAUCUCAGCCAGAAGCCACGAUGGAGGGUCCUGGGAAGGGAAGAGAUGUGAAGAUUUCUGUGAUUCUAAAACCUUGGGUCUGCCUGCAAACUUCUCUCUGAUCCCAGCCGAGAGCUGUGCACACGCUAGCUAGCCCUGUCACACAAUAGCCCAGUGUUCCCGUCACAGUGCCUGGGAAUGAGAGGCUUUUGAGGCCACAGAGCUAUGACAAGUCCCCAGGUUGAAUUGACUCUGGGAGGACAAAUUUCUGAGAGACUCACGGGACCCUUAUCCAGGACAACCUCACAAAGAUCCCUGAAACUGAGCUUCCUCUGCUUCGUGCAUAGUUUGAGGUAUAAACUUUCCUUGUGUCUCGGUCAGAUGAAGUGAAGGAUGAAUAUUAUCCCAGGCUAAAGUAACGAAAAGUCCAGAAGCCAGCGAUGACAGAGAUGUGUGUGGAAGAAGGCUGUGAGCAUUUCCAUCAAACCCUGUGAGUUUCCGAAGAUCUUAUCCCGAAGAUAUGUGUUUGGCCAAUAAAACACUGAAUAAAAAUCCA